This 243-nucleotide ribosomal RNA is filed under the name Escherichia coli. Its description in RNAcentral is "partial 16S ribosomal RNA". It matches the Rfam family "Bacterial small subunit ribosomal RNA", at positions 1050 to 1293 of the family's 1533-position model. Lineage: Bacteria; Pseudomonadati; Pseudomonadota; Gammaproteobacteria; Enterobacterales; Enterobacteriaceae. The record is from RNAcentral.
UGUCGUCAGCUCGUGUUGUGAAAUGUUGGGUUAAGUCCCGCAACGAGCGCAACCCUUAUCCUUUGUUGCCAGCGGUCCGGCCGGGAACUCAAAGGAGACUGCCAGUGAUAAACUGGAGGAAGGUGGGGAUGACGUCAAGUCAUCAUGGCCCUUACGACCAGGGCUACACACGUGCUACAAUGGCGCAUACAAAGAGAAGCGACCUCGCGAGAGCAAGCGGACCUCAUAAAGUGCGUCGUAGUC